CGACAGGCCUAACACAUGCAAGUCGAGGGGCAGCGAAGAGGUAGCAAUACCUUUGUCGGCGACCGGCGCACGGGUGAGUAACACGUAUGCAAUCCACCUGUAACAGGGGGAUAACCCGGAGAAAUCCGGACUAAUACCCCAUAAUAUGGGCGCUCCGCAUGGAGAGCCCAUUAAAGAGAGCAAUUUUGGUUACAGACGAGCAUGCGCUCCAUUAGCCAGUUGGCGGGGUAACGGCCCACCAAAGCGACGAUGGAUAGGGGUUCUGAGAGGAAGGUCCCCCACAUUGGAACUGAGACACGGUCCAAACUCCUACGGGAGGCAGCAGUGAGGAAUAUUGGUCAAUGGUCGGCAGACUGAACCAGCCAAGUCGCGUGAGGGAAGACGGCCCUACGGGUUGUAAACCUCUUUUGUCGGAGAGUAAAGUACGCUACGUGUAGUGUAUUGCAAGUAUCCGAAGAAAAAGCAUCGGCUAACUCCGUGCCAGCAGCCGCGGUAAUACGGAGGAUGCAAGCGUUAUCCGGAUUUAUUGGGUUUAAAGGGUGCGUAGGCGGCACGCCAAGUCAGCGGUGAAAUUUCCGGGCUCAACCCGGAGUGUGCCGUUGAAACUGGCGAGCUAGAGUACACAAGAGGCAGGCGGAAUGCGUGGUGUAGCGGUGAAAUGCAUAGAUAUCACGCAGAACCCCCGAUUGCGAAGGCAGCCUGCUAGGGUGAAACAGACGCUGAGGCACGAAAGCGUGGGUAUCGAACAGGAUUAGAUACCCUGGUAGUCCACGCAGUAAACGAUGAAUACUAACUGUUUGCGAUACAAUGUAAGCGGUACAGCGAAAGCGUUAAGUAUUCCACCUGGGGAGUACGCCGGCAA
Molecule: ribosomal RNA, 862 nt
Filed under: uncultured organism
Description: SSU rRNA
Rfam family: Bacterial small subunit ribosomal RNA
Source: RNAcentral